RNAcentral lists this non-coding RNA (63 nucleotides) under Actinoplanes friuliensis. Lineage: Bacteria; Bacillati; Actinomycetota; Actinomycetes; Micromonosporales; Micromonosporaceae. The record is from RNAcentral.
GCCGGUGGGAUUCCGGCGCUGUCCCGCAACUGUGAGCCCCGCCGUGCCCGGGGUGAAGCCAGG